RNAcentral lists this unclassified non-coding RNA (189 nucleotides) under uncultured fungus. RNAcentral's name for it is "sequence contains ITS1". The record is from RNAcentral. Lineage: Eukaryota; Fungi.
UUAUUAGAUUAUAAUAAUACUACUUUUGUUACUACUAAAUGUUUAUGAUUGGGGGCAGACGGGGACCGAGGUCACCACAUCUUACAGUUCACAGGUGUUAUGGAUGUGAAGGGUGCGAGAGCCUUGCCGAAGCAGAGACUCAAGCGGUUGUAUUCACUAAUGAUCCUUCCGCAGGUUCACCUACGGAAA